This 402-nucleotide RNase P RNA is filed under the name Streptomyces caeruleatus. RNAcentral's name for it is "Streptomyces sp. GIMN4.002 Bacterial RNase P class A". It matches the Rfam family "Bacterial RNase P class A". Rfam says of the family: Ribonuclease P (RNase P) is a ubiquitous endoribonuclease, found in archaea, bacteria and eukarya as well as chloroplasts and mitochondria. Lineage: Bacteria; Bacillati; Actinomycetota; Actinomycetes; Kitasatosporales; Streptomycetaceae. The record is from Rfam by way of RNAcentral.
CGAGCCGGGCGGACGGCCGCGUGGAGCUCCCCAGGGAGCUUCCCGAGGAACGUCCGGGCUCCACAGGGCAGGGUGGUGGCUAACGGCCACCCGGGGUGACCCGCGGGACAGUGCCACAGAAAGCAGACCGCCGGGGACCUCGGUCCUCGGUAAGGGUGAAACGGUGGUGUAAGAGACCACCAGUGCUCAGGGUGACCUGAGCAGCUAGGUAAACCCCACCCGGAGCAAGGUCAAGAGGAAACACCCCGGUGUUUCUGCGCGGACGUUCGAGGGCUGCCCGCCCGAGUCCGCGGGUAGACCGCAGGAGGCCGGUGGCAACGCCGGUCGUAGAUGGAUGGCCGUCGCCGGGGGGUUCGUGAGGACCCUCCGGAACAGAACCCGGCGUACAGCCCGACUCGUCUG